This 468-nucleotide ribosomal RNA is filed under the name uncultured bacterium. RNAcentral's name for it is "partial 16S ribosomal RNA". It matches the Rfam family "Bacterial small subunit ribosomal RNA", at positions 28 to 507 of the family's 1533-position model. The record is from RNAcentral.
GACGAACGCUGGCGGCGUGCUUAACACAUGCAAGUCGAACGGAAAGGCCCUGCUUUUGUGGGGUGCUCGAGUGGCGAACGGGUGAGUAACACGUGAGUAACCUGCCCUUGUCUUUGGGAUAACUUCAGGAAACUGGGGCUAAUACCGGAUAGGAGCUCCUGCUGCAUGGUGGGGGUUGGAAAGUUUCGGCGGUUGGGGAUGGACUCGCGGCUUAUCAGCUUGUUGGUGGGGUAGUUGCUUACAAAGGCUUUGACGGGUAGCCGGCCUGAGAGGGUGACCGGCCACAUUGGGACUGAGGUACGGCCCAGACUCCUACGGGAGGCAGCAGUGGGGAAUAUUGCACAAUGGGCGGAAGCCUGAUGCAGCGACGCCGCGUGCGGGAUGACGUCCUUCGGGUUGUAAACCGCUUUCGCCUGUGACGAAGCGUGAGUGACGGUAAUGGGUAAAGAAGCACCGGCUAACUACGUG